AAAUUGACACCGUAACUUCGGGAGAAGGUGUGCCGCUGGCGGUUAGUGACUUCGCGUCACGAAGCUGUCGGUGGUCGCAGUGAAAUGGCGGUUGUGACUGUUUACUAAAAACACAGGACUCUGCGAAGUCGUAAGACGACGUAUAGGGUCUGAUGCCUGCCCGGUGCUGGAAGGUUAAGGGGAUAUGUCAGCGCAAGCGAAGCAUUGAACCGAAGCCCCAGUAAACGGCGGCCGUAACGAUAACGGUCCUAAGGUAGCGAAAUUCCUUGUCGGGUAAGUUCCGACCUGCACGAGGGCAUAACAACAUCCGCACUGUCUCGACCAGGGACUCAGCGAAAUUACAUUGGGGGUGAAGAUGCCCUCUACCCGCGGAAAGACGGAAAGACCCCAUGAACCUUUACUGCAACUUGGCAGUGAUUUUCGGGUUGUUCUGCGUAGGAUAGGUGGGAGGCUUUGAAGCCGGGCUUCCGGGUUCGGCAGAGCCAACGUUGAAAUACCACCCUGAAUAAUCUGGAAAUCUAACCUGCGCCCAUGAUCUGGGCGAGGGACACUGCCUGGUGGGCAGUUUGACUGGGGCGGUCGCCUCCUAAAUUGUAACGGAGGCGUGCGACGGUUCCCUCAGGCUGAUUGGAAACCAGCCGUAGAGUGCAAACGCAUAAGGGAGCUUUACUGCGAGACUGACAAGUCGAACAGUUGCGAAAGCAGGUGUUAGUGAUCCGGUGGUACCACAUGGAAGGGCCAUCGCUCAUCGGAUAAAAGGUACUCUGUGGAUAACAGGCUGAUCGCGCCUGAGAGUUCACAUCGGCGGCGCGGUUUGGCACCUCGAUGUCGGCUCAUCGCAUCCUGGGGCUGGAGCAGGUCCCAAGGGUUUGGCUGUUCACCAAUUAAAGCGGUACGCGAGCUGGGUUUAAAACGUCGUGAGACAGUUUGGUCCCUAUCUUCCGUGGGCGCAGGACACUUGAGAGGAGCUAUCCAUAGUACGAGAGGACCUGGAUGGACGAACCUCUGGUGCUCCGGUUGUCACGCCAGUGGCAUAGCCGGGUAGCCAUGUUCGGAACAGAUAACCGCUGAAGGCAUAUAAGCGGGAAGCUGGCCUCAAGACUAGGUGUCCCUGACGCAAGUCACUAAAGGCCCCUCGAAGACUACGAGGUUGAUAGGCUCGGUGUGGAAGCGCUGCGAGGCGUGGAGCUAACGAGUACUAAUAGGCCGUGCGACUUGACCUC
This 1223-nucleotide ribosomal RNA is filed under the name metagenome. RNAcentral's name for it is "bacterial LSU rRNA". It matches the Rfam family "Bacterial large subunit ribosomal RNA", at positions 1719 to 2925 of the family's 2925-position model. The record is from RNAcentral.